GGGAAAGCGCGGACUCCGCGGCAUUCCGAUGUGAGGACUUCCGCGCGGAGUUGAAAAAAGCCGGUCUGCGUUCACUCUUCCCUGCCUGUUUUCCAGUUGCGGAGGUUGGUGUGGCGCGGCGUCAAGUUGGGAGGAAGCUUGCAUUGGCUCCACAAGAGGUUUCGUGAUUGACUACCCUAGUAAGGCAGAAGAGGACUGUCCUGCAGACAGUUGUUAUUUGGUGCCUGAUGACUUGAGUCACCUGAUGUGUGAGCUUCCACAAGCCAGUCAACCCUGGAAAACUGCCAGCACCCGAUUACUGAGACCCAAAGCUGAACUCUGAGAAUGCCUUCAAAGUAACGAGGACUCCUGGCAGUGGGCAGCCAGCGUUCUUCUGCAGGUAGCUGCUCUCUUGCCAUAUUCCCUUUCGACCUGCUCUCACUGCAAAGGUCCUUUCCAAAUCUAUGGCUCUGGGAUUGGCCAACAUUCUGAUGAACUGCCUUGACUAUAUUGUUCUUCCCCUCACUGAGGAAUAGAACAAGUCAGACCUCUAAAGCAAUUAAAAAGGGACUCACCAAUCCCAAAGUGACUCACCUUUGAAAACAUUGGAUUGUCUCACUCUCCUUGAUACUUAAUUGAAAGCAUCUUUGCAAGCUCCAUACAGAUUUCUGCGGUGGCCCUAGCACUCAGCAGUCCCGCAGACUGGCAGAGCAAAAGGCAGCAGGAGGCAGUUCAAGCCAUCUGUCCCAGAACGAGACAUCUGGUCUGUGCCUCUGGUUGGGACUUUUUGGAAGCCAUCUGGCUCCCCACCCAACAGAGCUGUGAUUAGCUAGAUGCUGUCAAGUGCUGGUGAGCCUAAGAGGAGAGGAUGCCUGAGCUGAAGUUGGCCUGGCAGUGAGCUUGGUUGGCUGGGAAAAUCAUGGAGCCAGCCAAUUGCUAUAAAGUAUCCACAGACAUCUACACAUGCCUGGGCUUUACAUCCAUCAAAUUUUUUUUUUUUUUAAAUUUCCAAGCACCAACGCUGAGUGUUGAGUUAUCAGGAACAGUAAUAUGCAUUUUCUAUUGUUACGGUUGGCCAGGAUUCUUGUCCUCUCUGAAUUAAAAAAAAAAAAAAAAAGUCAAUUUCAGGAGAAAAGUGUAGAGAAUUCAUGGCGGUGAGAAUUUAUGGCGGUAAGUAUUUUGGAAACAUGGGCUCAGAGGAUACAAGGUAUCCUAGAGAAACUUCGGUGAAAAAGAAACUUCCCAAAUACGGGGUGGAGAAAAGGAGUUUCUCAAAUACAAGGUGGGAAGCACUUGCUUUUGUGAGGCUAGAGGUGUUUGGGUCCCUGCUCAUCAUGUCUUUAUUGCCCCCACAAAGGACACGACACAGCCAUGUUCCCAUUGCCAGCUUAUUGCUAUUUUAUCCCUCAUUCUUAGCUAAAGAAAACUGAGUACAGUAUAAUGGGAGUUCCUGGUAUUUUAUUAAGGUGAAAUAUAUGCAACGCCAGAGAGGUUGGAAGGGUUGUCUCUAUCCCAGGCCUUCAUUUACUACUUCAGAGCAAAAGCACGUGUUUAGUGCUUCGAUUCAAACCAAUGUUAACAUAGGAUUUUCACCUGCUGCAACUUCAGGGAAUAACAGAUAACCUCAUUUGGGAAUCUGAUUCAGAAACUUCAUCUUUAAAAACGGAGCUGUGGGGGUGCCUAGGUGGCUCAGUCGGUUAAGCGUCUGCCUUCUGCUCAGGUCAUGAUCCCAGGGUCCUGGCAUUGAGCCCAGCAUCAGGCUCCUUGCUCAGUGGGGAGCCUGC
This is a long non-coding RNA of Ailuropoda melanoleuca (giant panda), 1763 nucleotides long. RefSeq lists it as uncharacterized. The record is from RefSeq and is a predicted model, not a curated record. The transcript is spliced from 3 exons. NCBI's taxonomy places the organism in Eukaryota, Metazoa, Chordata, Mammalia, Carnivora, Ursidae.